This 468-nucleotide ribosomal RNA is filed under the name uncultured bacterium. RNAcentral's name for it is "partial 16S ribosomal RNA". It matches the Rfam family "Bacterial small subunit ribosomal RNA", at positions 28 to 507 of the family's 1533-position model. The record is from RNAcentral.
GACGAACGCUGGCGGCGUGCUUAACACAUGCAAGUCGAACGGCAAGGCCCUGCUUUUGUGGGGUGCUCGAGUGGCGAACGGGUGAGUAACACGUGAGUAACCUGCCCUUGACUUUGGGAUAACUUCAGGAAACUGGGGCUAAUACCGGAUAGGAGCUCCUGCUGCAUGGUGGGGGUUGGAAAGUUUCGGCGGUUGGGGAUGGACUCGCGGCUUAUCAGCUUGUUGGUGGGGUAGUGGCUUACCAAGGCUUUGACGGGUAGCCGGCCUGAGAGGGUGACCGGCCACAUUGGGACUGAGAUACGGCUCAGACUCCUACGGGAGGCAGCAGUGGGGAAUAUUGCACAAUGGGCGGAAGCCUGAUGCAGCAACGCCGCGUGCGGGAUGACGGCCUUCGGGUUGUAAACCGCUUUCGCCUGUGACGAAGCGUGAGUGACGGUAAUGGGUAAAGAAGCACCGGCUAACUACGUG